GUAGUCUCGCACAGAUGCAUAUCAAUAAGCGGAGGAAAAGAAACUAACAAGGAUUCCCCUAGUAACGGCGAGUGAAGCGGGAAGAGCUCAAAUUUGAAAUCUUAAAGGGUUUCCCUUUACGAAUUGUAGUUUAAAGAAGUGUUUUCUGUUGAGGUUUUGGUAAAAGUUCUUUGGAAUAGGACAUCAUAGAGGGUGAGAAUCCCGUAUUUGACCUUUACUUUCAACUUUGUGAUACACUUUCAAAGAGUCGGAUUGUUUGGGAAUGCAGUCCUAAAUGGGUGGUAAAUUUCAUCUAAAGCUAAAUAUUGGCGAGAGACCGAUAGCGAACAAGUACCGUGAGGGAAAGAUGAAAAGAACUUUGAAAAGAGAGUUAAACAGUACGUGAAAUUGUCAAAAGGGAAGCGUUUGACACCAGUGUUGUUUUUCUGAAAAUCAAUUAAAGAACUGUUUAUGCUAAGUUGUUUAGACUUUAUCAGCUAACUGUUUAGUUUUGAGCUUUUCUUUAAUGCACUUUUCAGUUAACAAGUCAACAUCAAUUUCUUUUGCUGUAAAAAAGCUUGAGGAAGGUGGCUUGAGAUUCGUCUUAAGUGUUUAUAGCCUCUUGCCUAUGCAGUCGGAGAGAUUGAGGUCUGCAGCGUAGAUCCUUCGGGGCUAAAUGCAUUUGUGCUAAGUUAUAGCAUUUUAUAGACAACUUGUUGACUAUGAUUUGUCUUGUAGCUUACUCGCUUAUGUUAUUUUACCUACGCUUAGGAUGUUGAUAUCGCGCUCUCACUG
RNAcentral lists this ribosomal RNA (774 nucleotides) under uncultured Neocallimastigales. RNAcentral's name for it is "partial large subunit ribosomal RNA". It matches the Rfam family "Eukaryotic large subunit ribosomal RNA", at positions 24 to 643 of the family's 3401-position model. The record is from RNAcentral. Lineage: Eukaryota; Fungi; Neocallimastigomycota; Neocallimastigomycetes; Neocallimastigales.